This 497-nucleotide ribosomal RNA is filed under the name uncultured bacterium. RNAcentral describes it as "partial 16S ribosomal RNA". It matches the Rfam family "Bacterial small subunit ribosomal RNA", at positions 28 to 507 of the family's 1533-position model. The record is from RNAcentral.
GAUGAACGCUGGCGGCGUGCCUAAUACAUGCAAGUCGAGCGAACAGACGAGGAGCUUGCUCCUCUGACGUUAGCGGCGGACGGGUGAGUAACACGUGGAUAACCUACCUAUAAGACUGGGAUAACUUCGGGAAACCGGAGCUAAUACCGGAUAAUAUAUUGAACCGCAUGGUUCAAUAGUGAAAGACGGUUUUGCUGUCACUUAUAGAUGGAUCCGCGCCGCAUUAGCUAGUUGGUAAGGUAACGGCUUACCAAGGCAACGAUGCGUAGCCGACCUGAGAGGGUGAUCGGCCACACUGGAACUGAGACACGGUCCAGACUCCUACGGGGGGCAACAGUAGGGAAUCUUCCGCAAUGGGCGAAAGCUUGACGGAGCAACGCCGCGUGAGUGAUGAAGGUCUUCGGAUCGUAAAACUCUGUUAUUAGGGAAGAACAAAUGUGUAAGUAACUAUGCACGUCUUGACGGUACCUAAUCAGAAAGCCACGGCUAACUACGUG